This 254-nucleotide ribosomal RNA is filed under the name uncultured bacterium. Its description in RNAcentral is "partial 16S ribosomal RNA". It matches the Rfam family "Bacterial small subunit ribosomal RNA", at positions 524 to 776 of the family's 1533-position model. The record is from RNAcentral.
UACGUAGGGGGCGAGCGUUGUCCGGAUUUAUUGGGCGUAAAGAGCUCGUAGGCGGUUUGGCAAGUCGGGUGUGAAAACUCCGGGCUCAACUCGGAGACGCCACUCGAUACUGCCAUGACUCGAGUCCGGUAGGGGAGUGCGGAAUUCCUGGUGUAGCGGUGAAAUGCGCGGAUAUCAGGAGGAACACCGGUGGCGAAGGCGGCACUCUGGGCCGGUACUGACGCUGAGGAGCGAAAGCGUGGGGAGCGAACGGG